GGCGGAUGUCAGCGGUUCGAGUCCGCUUACCUCCAGGGGGUAUAGCUCAGUUGGUAGAGCGCCGCCCUUGCAA
This 73-nucleotide transfer RNA is filed under the name Chaetosphaeridium globosum. Its description in RNAcentral is "tRNA-Ala". Lineage: Eukaryota; Viridiplantae; Streptophyta; Coleochaetophyceae; Coleochaetales; Chaetosphaeridiaceae. The record is from RNAcentral.